CGCCGCCGCCGCCGCCGCCGCCGCCGCCGCCGCCGCCGGAGCGGAGACUCACGUGUUUUCUCGGAGAAGAAGAACGAGGUCGCGCGGAGGGAGUAUUUAUCCUACGCCAAGUACCGCGAGAUCUCGGGUGCCCCGCCCCGAGCACGAGCCUAUAAGAGCGGUGGAGGGGCGCUCCCAGGCCUCCCGGCCGACCCCGCGUGCGCCUGCGCACAUCGGCUCUGCGCUCCUGCUGCCCGGUGCCGCCGCAGCCCGGCUGCCCGCGCUGCAGGACGCAGACGCCCCGGAGCGCGGCGGGAGGGGGCUCUACCCCGCACGCCCCGUGGAGCAGUCGACCCGAGUCGGCGCGGGAGUCCCCCGCCCGCCUGGAGCGCGUCCGUCGGUGCUGUGCCGCGGAGGACAGACCCUGAGGUCACGGCCUCCUGCNCCCCAGCUCCGCCAGCCGGGCUCCCGCGGGUCGGCCGGCCCAGGUCCCACACCGCACAGCUUCCACAGUAGCAGGCUUGUGGCUCAAGGACGCA
This 518-nucleotide long non-coding RNA is filed under the name Vulpes vulpes (red fox). Its description in RNAcentral is "lncRNA (ENSVVUG00000009616.1)". Lineage: Eukaryota; Metazoa; Chordata; Mammalia; Carnivora; Canidae. The record is from RNAcentral.